GUAUGAGUCCAUUCGGAAAUCCACCGGCUCACGUAAGCACUGUUCGUAAAAGUGACUGGUCCUUUGGAGUGAAGACAAGCCGAAUCGUUAUUCCUUGCUACAAGAAGCUACCGAGGUGCUUUGAAACUAACGGAAAUGUUGCAGGAACCACAUUAAUCAGCCCAGUGAAUCAUACCGAGGCAGAGACGAAAAACAAUUCCGGUAAAAUAUCUGGUAGAUCUUCAAAGUGGGCUCGCAGAAAGAGGUGCUGGAUCGAUGAGUUUUCUGGGUUUGAGUGAUUGCAAAGCAUUCCUGCCUCAGAAAUGCUGUCACACCAUCGUUUACCGUCCUCGUAAACAUUGCUGGAACUGGUAAAGAACGUUGAAAGAGAAACAAGCACAGCUCUUGGUUAUUCAGAAGGACCGAUUAGUGUCGUGGCCGUCAUAACUCCCUCUUUUUGGCAAUAAGAACUACAAGCGGGGUUCCGCCGAGAUCCUAAUCAUCUGUCAUGAUUACAAAUGGAAACCAACAGCCUCAUUAUCAAUACCAGCACCCGGAACAGUUUUAACUGAUGCUGGAGCUGAAAUCUAUCUCAAUAUUACAUUUUUCCUGGAGAUAAAAGAAUGCAGCGGUUAGGCUUCCAAAAUUUUCGGAACGGAUUUGGAUUUAUGAUCAGCAUUUUUCAGAGGAAAAAUGUUCCAGUUUUGAUCACCGAGGAUCAUAAGAUAUAUCUACUGGCGAGUUACUGAAACUGUUGCCUUUACCAGAGUGAGAUUGUACUCAUAAGAUCUAGGUGUAAAUUGAACCUCUUGCAAUGUAUCCGAAUAUGGAGGGAACUAUG
This is a long non-coding RNA of Uranotaenia lowii, 820 nucleotides long. RefSeq lists it as uncharacterized. The record is from RefSeq and is a predicted model, not a curated record. Lineage: Eukaryota; Metazoa; Arthropoda; Insecta; Diptera; Culicidae. The transcript is spliced from 3 exons.